UGCUCAGCUCGCAGCGGUCAGCUUUACUCGCAUGGCUGUUAACCGAAAGGUUGUAGGUUCGAGUCCUACCUGAGGAGCCA
This 80-nucleotide transfer RNA is filed under the name Terriglobia bacterium. RNAcentral describes it as "tRNA-Asn". The record is from RNAcentral. Lineage: Bacteria; Pseudomonadati; Acidobacteriota; Terriglobia.